CGCCGGCACCCUGCCGGGAAAUGGCCCCGAGCACUUUCAACAGCCACACACAGACUCCGGAGGGAGGCCCCGUCCCCGGUGUUCACCUGGCGCCACGGCGUCCCCUCGCACGGUCACCGCUCCGCUGCCGCCCGCCCGGAGCGCAGGCUCCGGCUCCUCGCGAUUCCCUCGCUCCUCCUCGGGGCUUCCGGCAGCGGCGCCGGCCGCGGCCGAGGAGCGUGUGCCCGGCCGGUUGUGAGAUAUUGUCCAGGAAUGUGCUACAUGAUUGCAGCUGCAUACGUCACUCUUCAAGAAACUGCAGUCUCAAAUGACCAAGGAAUGGCAGAGAACCCAGUAUCCAUUUCUGCUUGUUCAUACUCUCCUUUCUAAAAGUAAUAAAGUAGGCAUAGCUGGGUGGUAUUGAAGAACUGAAGGAACCCUACAAAAUGGAACCUUUCUAAGGCCUGUCACAAAGGAGCAUUGAUUGUUUUGUUAUUUGACUUCUAAUUUGUACCAUGCAGUUGGACUCUGUAGAUGGGGGUAUUGCUGCCCCUAUUGCAUGCCAGAACUCUCUUACAUCAAUAAACUUAUAAAACAGUU
Molecule: long non-coding RNA, 579 nt
Organism: Melopsittacus undulatus (budgerigar)
Lineage: Eukaryota; Metazoa; Chordata; Aves; Psittaciformes; Psittaculidae
Exons: 3
Source: RefSeq, a predicted model, not a curated record